RNAcentral lists this unclassified non-coding RNA (275 nucleotides) under uncultured fungus. RNAcentral describes it as "partial contains small subunit ribosomal RNA, internal transcribed spacer 1, and 5.8S ribosomal RNA". The stretch from base 1 to 73 matches the Rfam family "Eukaryotic small subunit ribosomal RNA", at positions 1759 to 1831 of the family's 1831-position model. Lineage: Eukaryota; Fungi. The record is from RNAcentral.
GCAAACUUGGUCAUUUAGAGGAAGUACAAGUCGUAACAAGGUUUCCGUAGGUGAACCUGCGGAAGGAUCAUUAACAAAUCAAUGUUGGUGUGUAAUAUGCAGAUGUAUAUUUUUUAUGUGUGCACAUUAUACACUAUAUUUGUGCUCCAAGCUAGUCUUGGUUGCAUCAUAUCAUAUUCAUGAAUUUUAUUAUACUAGUGUCAUUUUAUAACAAGUAAUCUAUUAAUACUUUUAACAAUGGAUCUCUUGGCUCUUGCAUCGAUGAAGAACGCAGC